AUUCACCUAUGGGUAGUAGAUUCUAUAUUCAUUACAAAUUGUGAAUGAAAAUGAACAUAAAUGCUCCUGGGUUCUAUGUAUUUGUUCCUAUUUACUCUAGUCUUUAGAACAUUGAUAGAAUAGUAGAAUAUCCUAUUUUCUAUUCUAACAGUUAUUGUUUUUGGGGGGUGGGAGUCAGAAGUUCAGCCAUGGAGUGGAGUUUGUUCUUUUGUUAUCAUUUAAUGCGGGUGCCUUAGAUAACCAAGUGGAACAUGCAUUGGUGUCUCUAGCAACGGUGAUGCUGGAAUCUCCUUCCUUGAUUGUACAAUGUACACAAGAUAUGCACAAACUACGCCUUGUCAACACCUGACCUGAAGCCAGAAUGCAGGCAUAGCAAGGGAUCAGAAAAUAUUUCAAACGGGGUUCAUAACUAAGAUGGCCAAGGAGCUAUUUCAAGGGAGAGCAUACAUGCAUUGGAGAAGCUUAGUCAUCUAAACUAGGUUAUCGGAAGACCUAAGGUUGAGUUAAUGUUUGAGGCUCAAAAGCUACCAACAGAAGAAGAAAUAAUAGAAGAGUUCACAUAUCCCUUGCUUAACUAAAAGUAAUAGGUAACUUAUUGCAAGAGUGAUUGUUUAUACUUCCAGUUACCAUGACAUUGUUCCUCUUUGUAUAUGUUCCUUAGUCGACUCUAAAUAGUUUUAAAUGAAUUUUCAUUUGGAAUUUGUAUGUUGCAGUCGAAUUGGCUUCUAGUGGGUUUGUUUCUAAUUUUGUAUGCUUGUAGUAUAUGUCUAAGGUUUGUAGAAGGAAUAAUUGUUUCUAAGUGAGUAAGAUUUAUACAAGAUUUUAUUUUUUUAGAUUAUUCCCUUGAAAUUCUUUUAUUAAUGUGUUGAUGGAUUUAUUUGGUCUUGAUUGUUGGU
This is a long non-coding RNA of Trifolium pratense (red clover), 896 nucleotides long. RefSeq lists it as uncharacterized. The transcript is spliced from 4 exons. NCBI's taxonomy places the organism in Eukaryota, Viridiplantae, Streptophyta, Magnoliopsida, Fabales, Fabaceae. The record is from RefSeq and is a predicted model, not a curated record.